Molecule: unclassified non-coding RNA, 223 nt
Filed under: rhizosphere metagenome
Description: partial ribosomal RNA internal transcribed spacer region
Source: RNAcentral
GUAGGUGAACCUGCGGAAGGAUCAUUAGUGAAUUUUAGGGCGUCUUACUUCGGUAAGGGCCUGACCUCCACUCUCUAACACUGUGCACUCAUUGGCGGGAAAGAAAUAAGAAGAGUAUUUAUACUUGGAAUACGAUUUCCUGCGGCUCACUUUUAAACACUAGUUAAAGUAUGUAUAAAAAAAUAAAAUAAAAAAACUUUCAACAACGGAUCUCUUGGCUCUC